UACAGGGGGGGCAAGCGUUGUUCGGAAUUACUGGGCGUAAAGGGCUCGUAGGUGGCCAACUAAGUCAGACGUGAAAUCCCUCAGCUUAACUGGGGAACUGCGUCUGAUACUGGAUGGCUUGAGUGUGGGAGAGGGAUGCGGAAUUCCAGGUGUAGCGGUGAAAUGCGUAGAUAUCUGGAGGAACACCGGUGGCGAAGGCGGCAUCCUGGACCAACACUGACACUGAGGAGCGAAAGCCAGGGGAGCAAACGGG
This 253-nucleotide ribosomal RNA is filed under the name uncultured bacterium. Its description in RNAcentral is "partial 16S ribosomal RNA". It matches the Rfam family "Bacterial small subunit ribosomal RNA", at positions 524 to 776 of the family's 1533-position model. The record is from RNAcentral.